This 1333-nucleotide ribosomal RNA is filed under the name Sulfitobacter litoralis. Its description in RNAcentral is "bacterial SSU rRNA". The record is from RNAcentral. Lineage: Bacteria; Pseudomonadati; Pseudomonadota; Alphaproteobacteria; Rhodobacterales; Roseobacteraceae.
UGCAGUCGAGCGCWGUCCUUCGGGACCGAGCGGSGGASGGGUUAGUAMCGCGGGGGAACAUACCCUUUUCURCSGAAUAGCCUCGGGAAACUGASAGUAAUACCGUAUAAGCCCUUCGGGGGAAAGAUUUAUCGGGAAGGGAUUGGCCCGCGUUARAUUARAUAGWUGGKGGGGUAAUGGACUACCWAGUCURCRAUCUAUAGGUGGUUUUAGARGAYGAUCCRCAACUGGGGKACUGAAACACKGCCCASACUCCUACGGGAGGCASCRGUGGGGAAUCUUAGACAGGGGGCGCAAGCCAGAUCUAGCCAUGCCGCGUGUGUGAUGAAGGUCUUAGGAUCGUAAAGCACUUUCGCCAGGGAUGAUAAUGACAGUACCUGGUAAAGAAACCCCGGCCUAACUCCGUGCCAGCAGCCGCGGUAAUACGGAGGGGGUUAGCGUUGUUCGGAAUUACUGGGCGUAAAGCGUACGUAGGCGGAUCAGAAAGUUAGGGGUGAAAUCCCCAGGCUCAACCUCGGAACUGCCUCUAAAACUCCUGGUCUUGAGUUCGAGAGAGGUGAGUGGAAUUCCAAGUGUAGAGGUGAAAUUCGUAGAUAUUUGGAGGAACACCAGUGGCGAAGGCGGCUCACUGGCUCGAUACUGACGCUGAGGUACGAAAGUGUGGGGAGCAAACAGGAUUAGAUACCCUGGUAGUCCACACCGUAAACGAUGAAUGCCAGUCGUCGGGCAGUAUACUGUUCGGUGACACACCUAACGGAUUAAGCAUUCCGCCUGGGGAGUACGGUCGCAAGAUUAAAACUCAAAGGAAUUGACGGGGGCCCGCACAAGCGGUGGAGCAUGUGGUUUAAUUUGAAGCAACGCGCAGAACCUUACCAACCCUUGACAUCCUGUGCUAACUCGAGAGAUCGAGCGUUCACUUCGGUGACGCAGUGACAGGUGCUGCAUGGCUGUCGUCAGCUCGUGUCGUGAGAUGUUCGGUUAAGUCCGGCAACCAGCGCAACCCACAUCUUUAGUUGCCAGCAGUUCGGCUGGGCACUCUAAGGAAACUGCCCGUGAUAAGCGGGAGGAAGGUGUGGACGACGUCAAGUCCUCAUGGCCCUUACGGGUUGGGCUACACACGUGGUACAAUGGCAGUGACAAUGGGUUAAUCCCAAAAAGCUGUCUCAGUUUGGAUUGGGGUCUGCAACUCGACCCCAUGAAGUCGGAAUCGCUAGUAAUCGCGUAACAGCAUGACGCGGUGAAUACGUUCCCGGGCCUUGUACACACCGCCCGUCACACCAUGGGAGUUGGUUCUACCCGACGACGUUGCGCUAACCCUCGGGAGGCAGGCGGC